RNAcentral lists this ribosomal RNA (433 nucleotides) under uncultured bacterium. RNAcentral's name for it is "partial 16S ribosomal RNA". It matches the Rfam family "Bacterial small subunit ribosomal RNA", at positions 29 to 507 of the family's 1533-position model. The record is from RNAcentral.
AACGAACGCUGGCGGCAUGCCUAACACAUGCAAGUCGAACGAGACCUUCGGGUCUAGUGGCGCACGGGUGCGUAACGCGUGGGAACCUGCCCUUAGGUUCGGAAUAACUCCCCGAAAGGGGUGCUAAUACCGGAUAAUGUCUUCGGCCCAAAGAUUUAUCGCCUUUGGAUGGGCCCGCGUUGGAUUAGCUAGUUGGUAGGGUAAAAGCCUACCAAGGCGACGAUCCAUAGCUGGUCUGAGAGGAUGAUCAGCCACACUGGGACUGAGACACGGCCCAGACUCCUACGGGAGGCAGCAGUGGGGAAUAGUGGACAAUGGGCGAAAGCCUGAUCCAGCAAUGCCGCGUGAGUGAUGAAGGCCUUAGAGUUGUAAAGCGCUUGUACCCGGGAUGAUAAUGACAGUACCGGGAGAAUAAGCUCCGGCUAACUCCGUG